UAUUUUUAUCUGUUAGCAAGAGAAGAGGGUCUCUCCCUGCAAACUGGGUUUAUCACUCAUUUCUGUUUACUGAGAAGGUGGAGGACACAGCUGCCUAAUUGACAUAAUAACACCCAUUUACAUCAAUUAUAAAUUAUGUAGUUUAUAGCUGUAGAUACUCUCAUUGCAUGUAAACAUUAAAGCCUAGGUAAUUAACUAUGCAAGGUAUGCAAAAGGCUAAAUCGAAGCUUUGCAAUUAUUUGAAAAAAGUUGAUGCCUAUUAAGUUGCUUGAUUCUGAGCAUCUGCCGAAGUGUUAAUGCAUUCAAAUACUUCAGCAUGGUACUGCCAAGAAAGACCCUUUUCUGAAAUUAAAGUAGGGUAAUGCAUUUAAACUGCAAAUGUAAUUUUUUCACAAGCGGUUUCUUUCUUUUUCUCUCCCUAACGUGAUAAAAAGAGUUCUAAAGCAGGCUUCAGCAUAGCUAUGCCUCUGAACUAAAGAGAAGAACUAAAGCUUUCCAGAUGAGAAAUGGCAUUUUGAGUACUGAAAGCAGUACCUUGAUUCAAAACAGAGAGGGAGAUCCAGGUCUCCCAGUUGUAGAUCAGUGGCUCACAGAAGGACUCUGGCCAGUCACAUUGGGAAGUUGUGUUCUGGGGUUGGAUGAGCCUUCAGGGCCCAGUGGUUUCACUUCACUUCCUAGUGCACAGACACUGGUCAGAUGAAUGAUGAAAUUAGCCUGGUGGAGGAGAGAGGAAAGUAUUCAUAGGUGUGUGUAGCAGGGAGCAGCCUAGCUUCAAAGCAUCUGAAAAUCCCCGUAGGUAGUGCUAUCAGAAUAGACAGAAGCUCUAUAAAGGCAUAAAGGGUGAAUAUCCCUUUUGUUUGAGAUGCUGACAGCAAUCCCCCAGUAAAGCUGAGCAUAGCUCUGUGUGUUUCGGUUGCUCCUGUCCUGACCUGGUGGUCUGCUCUAAAAUGAAGCUGUUAUGAGAUGGGGUAGUAAAGCAGUGUGGGAUCAGUGCACCUGGUGAGCAUUUACGUAAAGGAUUCCACUUUCCAGUAUGGCAUAUACUGAGAGCCUGUGGUUCAAUCUGAAUGUCUCUCAUGGCACAAAUUUAAAAUUGAGUUUGAUUCAGCUACUUCUUAUUAAAGCAUUGUUGUUAACCAAAUACAGUGUGGCUCUAGUAAGUUGGUUUCAUCUGGAGUUACAGCUCUUUUGAUGCAGAUUUAUCUGUAGUUGAUGGAGAAGGCUUUUGAUGAUGGGAAGAUAUCCAAUAACAAGAGUAACGUGACAUUCUAAGCAAUUCAUGUAACUUAGGAACACAAGUAAAAUUGUUUCACAUCUGAGUUAGCAUCCAGCAAAAGAUAAUAGAGAAGAAAAGUUGCCAAGCAUCGAGAUCAUGAAGUCAUAGAUUCAUAAAGGUUAGAGAAGACUUCUGAGAUCAUCUAGUGGAACCAUCAGCCCAUCCCCACAGUGCCCACUACACCAUGUCCCUAAGUGCCACGUCCGCCCUUUUCUUGAAAACUUUCAGGGGACGGUGACUGCUCCACCUCCCCGGGCAGCCUUUUCCAUUACCUCAUCACUCUUUCUGAGAAGAAAUUUUUCCUAUGAUGGUCAAGACAAAAUUUAUUUUUUAGUUGGAGACAAGAGGUGAAAUUGGUAAGGGAAAAACAAAAGCACCCCAGAAGUGCAGGAAUAAGAAAAAUAAAAGCACAGAACGCACUAAAAUCACCUGGUGAAAAAUGGGAUAAACGGUUUCCGACACUGACCAUGUCAUCCUCUUGCUGCUCCUUGAAACUGUCAAAUGUCUCAGGAUCAUUGAUACACGUGUUAAGAGGAAAAUGCUGCAUCUUACUUCGUAGUAUUCCGUAGUAUUCAAGUUACACUUUUGUUAAAUUUUAUAAUGGUGUUAAACAUAAUAUGAUAUGUAAGAAAUGAUUUCAAUUCUUCUGGCACUUAAGUCGUAAAGGGCUGGAUACUGUCCCAUAAAAUAAUAAUAUAGAAAAAAAACUGUACCAUAAGAGAAUUAAAUUCAUGCUUCAGUGGAAAGGAGAAAGGGAUGUUUUUUUAGUAAAUGUAUAGAAGGAACAAAGGUUCAAAUUUUCAUUGCUUGUGCAGCAGGAAUUCCCCAUCUCCACUGGCAGCUGUGUGGAGAAAGCCAUGAGCCAACCCUGCUCGCACUUAGAGUACCUACAGCUUUCUGGCCGUGGCAUAUGAGAAGGAGCCUGUCCUCCUCCCUCUCCCCCUGUACUGACCUGCAGCACAGAGAAAUGGGAAUUUGUGUCCCUGUUCCUGGGUAAGGCAGCCAGGUGGGGUUCUUGUCUAUUUAUCACCUUGUCAUCUCUUUCUCCUGUUUUAAGCACUCUGAUUCCCCGUCCUCUUUUUGGCCUGCUGAAACAAGAGCCUUUUUUUGGAUUCCUCAUGCUAUGGAGAGCAAGCAGGAAUUGCUAAAAAGCCCUUCUGAGAGGCAUUGUUGUUAUUGUGGCCACGUUCAUUGGGUCUAGGGAAUGACAUGUCCCAGUUUACUUCCAAAUUCAAAACACAGGUCACUGCUGAAUCCCGGAGAUUUCCUGCAAAGAAAGCACAGCUUGAAAAAUCGUUUCGUAUAGACAAAAGGACAGGAACCCCAAAAGAGCUAAUGCGGAGUGUGUAACUGUAACACGAGCAAUAAGCAUUAACAUCGUUAUUUGGGUUAAGGUAAAUAAAUAUAUUUGUCCUGGAGGCGGCUGGGCAGUACCAUGUAAUUCUUAGGAAGAUACAGAUGUAGUUGUUUCCAAUUGUCAUGUGUGUAGGCACACUGCUGUGCAUGUGAGUUAGCGACCCGCCCCCCCCCC
This is a long non-coding RNA of Centrocercus urophasianus (Greater sage-grouse), 2807 nucleotides long. RefSeq lists it as uncharacterized. Lineage: Eukaryota; Metazoa; Chordata; Aves; Galliformes; Phasianidae. The record is from RefSeq and is a predicted model, not a curated record. The transcript is spliced from 2 exons.